RNAcentral lists this long non-coding RNA (1323 nucleotides) under Ursus maritimus (polar bear). RNAcentral describes it as "lncRNA (ENSUMAG00000014281.1)". The record is from RNAcentral. Lineage: Eukaryota; Metazoa; Chordata; Mammalia; Carnivora; Ursidae.
CAGGCCUUGGCCUCGGCGGCCGGCCCCCGCCCCCAGCCCCUAAUUGGCUCAUUUGCCGCCGUGUAAACAAGGGCGCAGCCCCUCCCCCUGUUUAGUGCCUGGCCUUUAAGAAAAAGAGUCCUCCCUUCUGCCGGCGGCACUCGUUAUCUGAAUCUUAAUGAGGUCAUUAGCAUCCCGUGCCUCUGACGGGGAGGGACGUGUUCGGCGCACACCUCGUUUGGGCUUGUUUGCAUCCCCUGGACCCCCGCGCCCGCCUCACUUUGCGCAGGGCCGCGGGCCCAAGGCUGUGGGCACCAGUGCCGUCAACCUAGAGCCCAGCUGCCGCCUCCCCCGCCUAGAGGCAAGGCUGCGAGGGGCGCCAGUUCAGGUGCGGAUAUCAGAGAUGGGGGAGCCCUUUGCGCAGGACCCCUUGGUCAGAGGAGGGUCAGUGAGAGCACAGAGCGGAGCUCUGGGACCAGAUCGAGGCGCCCAGCUGGCGGCACAGGCGACCUUCUGCCCUGAGCUCUUGAUCCCUCUGGGUCUCGCUGGCCUGGCUGCUUGCGGGAGGGGGUGGGGGUUGGGGGGCAGGCGUCGCCGCAGGUUGGAUGGUCGCAGGAGGGCAGGCGACCCGAGGGCUAACAGCUCUGCCCUCUGCUCCCUCCCCCCAGGGAACGGCAGGGGCAGNNNNNNNNNNNNNNNNNNNNNNCAAGACCGCUGGUGGUACAGGUACCUACCUUUGCCCGUCGCUCCAACGUGCUGACUGGACUCCAGGACUCCUCCGCAGACAACCGCUCUAAGCUGGAGCUGGGCGCUCAGGGCAAGGGCCAGGGCCACCAGUACGAGCUCAACAGCAAGAAGCACCAUCAGUACCAGCCGCACAGCAAGGAGCGAGCCGGCAAACCCCCACCGCCGGGCAAGAGCGGCAAGUACUACUACCAGCUCAACAGCAAGAAGCACCACCCCUACCAGCCCGACCCCAAGAUGUACGACCUGCAGUACCAGGGCGGCCACAAGGAGGCGCCCAGCCCCACUUGCCCGGACCUGGGCGCCAAGAGCCACCCGCCUGACAAGUGGGCCCACGGCGCGGGGGCCAAGGGCUACCUGGGAGCUGGGAAGCCCCUGGCCGGCGCGGCCGGGGCUCCAGGCAAGGGCUCCGAGAAGGGCCCUCCCAACGGGAUGACGCCGGCCCCCAAAGAGGCGGUGACGGGCAACGGGAUUGGGGGCAAGAUGAAGAUCGUCAAGAACAAGAACAAGAACGGACGCAUCGUGAUCGUGAUGAGCAAGUACAUGGAGAACGGCAUGCAGGCGGUGAAGAUCAAGUCCGGCGAGGCGGCCGAGGGCGAG